Molecule: long non-coding RNA, 1116 nt
Filed under: Sinocyclocheilus anshuiensis
Lineage: Eukaryota; Metazoa; Chordata; Actinopteri; Cypriniformes; Cyprinidae
Description: lncRNA (ENSSANG00000003697.1)
Source: RNAcentral
GAACAAAGAAACAAAUUAAGCAAAAAUGUUUGUUUUACCAUGUGAUCACGUUGUAUACAACUUUUUUCUCCAUGUACCAAAGAGCGAGGCUACAUGAUGCACAGAGUUCCAUGGUCAGAAGGUAUGAGAUUCUAUGAGGUGGUAUAUCCAUUUAAUUUUGUAAACUUAAUGCUUGUUUCCAGGCUGUUAUACUUCAUUAUAACAUAUAAAAGAACAAUCAAAUUUUUUUCUCCAAGUAUCAAAGAUUGAGACCUGAUGAGGCAUUGAUUGUUAAAAAAUGGAACCCAUUGUUGCAUAGAGUAUGAAAAGUAUGAGAAAUUUGUCUGUUCGCAAGUUUUAUGUGGCAUGCUUAAUGCUGUUUGAAUAAUUAACAAAUAUACAAUGUCUUGCAUAAUUUGUAUGUCUCUUAAUUUAAAGUGAAAUUUCUGUCUCAUAUUGACAGUCAAAGACCAGAUGUGGCACCAUCUCCUGCAACCUCUUACUUGUCUUUCAAAAGCAAUCAUUCAAUGGAUCGACCGAUUGUGUUCAGAGACAGAACUCAGAAUAACAAUGUUAAAUGUCUGCGAUUCGAAGAGGCUCUAUCUCCAGCACCGUCACUCCUGUCUGUAAAGAGUAAUCAGUCAAUGGAUCGCCCGAUUGUGUUAAAAAAUGAAAAGUAUGAGAAUUUAACCUGUUUUAUAUUUUGUGCUUAUUGUGUUAAAAAAUAUAUUUUAUUAGUUACAGCUGUGCUUGUUUUGCAUAGCAUGUCUCUUGCACAAUGUUGAACUUCUGUUGUCUUUCCCAUUAUUAUUAAAGAUUAAAAUCAUAUGAAGCAGCAUCUCCAGUACCUUCCUUCACAUCACUGAUGUGACACCAUAAAUAAUAAUAUUGUAUUAGUUACAGCUAUGCUUGGUUUGCACAGCAUGUCUCUUGUACAAUGUUAAUAUCCUGUUGUCUUUCCCAUUCUUAAAGAUUAAAACCAUGUGAAGUAGCAUCUCCAACACCUUCCUUCACAUCUCUGAAAAGUGAUCAGUCGGUGGAUCAACUGAUUUUGUUAAGAGAGAGAAUGCAGUAUUACAGGUAUGAAACUAAAUGAUGUAUGCAUACAUUGUGCUUGAUGUGUAUUCAAUAAACAAU